GUCAGUUCUCGUCGAGACGGUAAGCGGUGAGGAUGUAGUUCUGUCGGUGCUUGGUUAGUUACACACACGCGUCGAUUUCGUAUCGGAAUAUACCCUGUUCGUUGUAGUAAUAAAUAAAACAGAAAAAAGUACGAUAAUUUCAAUGGAAAUGAACGAGCAACGACGUCAAACGAUUAGCGUUUGAGGAACGAUCGGUGCGGAAUAUUAUUUCCGGUAAAAACUCUGUGCGUUCGCUGUUUCGUCCGGCCCUUAAAGUGUUGUGGUUGGUUUUUAACUACAGGAUAAAUAAUCGCAGACAAAAUGGGAUAUAUUGGACCGUUUGUGGCUAAUAAGAGAUUCAUAUUCCUCAAGACUGUGAUUAGAAAGAAUAAAUUGCUUCUACAACGUCAAUGACAAAGUCGUGACAUAUCUGCCCGCUACUUUCUGCUUGUUGAAGUUUUUUAUCUUAAGAAAAAUAGACUCAUCGUGUGUUUUACGCAACGUGCAUGCCUGCACGUUAGUUCGUUUGUUAACCAUAUUUUGUGAUAAUCCUGACAAGGAUAAUAUCCGCCUUCGUAAACGUCUAUAUACUUUGUCUGACAAACAAAAUUGGACAGACGUCAAUCUGACCCCCGGACAAUUGUUUGAAUAUAACUUAAGCUUCGACCUCUGUUCCGUAAUUUUAUAAAAUAUCCAUUAGUGCGUACAACAAGCUUUAAACUUUCUUAACACGGAAUUUAACUGAUAAAUUGAUUUUAACACCGGCAAGUGAUCUUAACAAUUGCAUUGAUUGGUCGUGAACUGAAUUGAACUAUAUGAACAUUUUUUCCUCGGUUCUCAAUCUGUACUAAUAAUAUUAACCGAAAGUGGUUGGAUGAUUAAAGUUGGAUAUAAAUGCGUAAUACUUAAUCGUGACAAAACAGGUUUUGAAACAAAAAACAAAAAAUAGAACCUUAAUAUCCUUUUAUAAGUAAAGUAAUAUUUUAAUACAUUGUUAUCAUCCGAGUUGUUUGAAGCGUAUGUAUAAUAAAAUACAGUAUAAAUAAUAAAGUCUGAUACUUAGUGCCAAAGACUGCAGUGAAGCCAAAAAAUAUACACUAUAAUAUUAUGUAACCAAACAACGUAUGUGUAUAUAUAUACGUAUAUAUAUAUUUCUUGUUAUUAAUGAUAAUUGACUAUUGAUACGAGGAGAUACUUGGAACAGUAUUAAAGACAAAACUAUAUACUCAUCCACGCGUGAUCGGGGAACAACGAAACAAACUCACACUGUGAAAAAAAUACAAACAUAUAUACAUAGUUUUGUUUCUUUUUUUUUUUUAUUUAUUUUUUUGAAUUUCAAACUGCUACGCGCUUUAACCAAAGAAGGAAGAUGUCGUUUCUCAAUGGAUACUCAACGUACAAUUCCCAGUCGCAGAGUGCUACCUCUCCACCGAGAACCAGUAUCUGGGGUAGUUCUCACAGCCCAUUUCGAAGCACGAAUUUGACCCUUCAGGAUAUCACGAUAGAUCACACGCUUCCUUGUAUAAAUGGCACACAUGGAAGGUCUCCAGGUAAGGCAGCGACCACAGGGCCUGGACUCGGCGCAAUCAGAGGCGUACCGGGCACCGUCCAAGGGACCGGAGGCAGAACAAUGAAGGAAUACGAGGAUCAGCUUGGCAUGCUGAAGAAGGAGAACUUCAACCUUAAGCUGCGGAUAUAUUUUCUUGAGGAAAGGAUGGGCAUCACAUCUGCGGAUGAAGAUGCGAUCAAAAAAAAUAUCGAACUUAAGGUCGAGGUCGAGUCACUGAGAAAAGAACUGAUUGAGAAGCAGGAUCUUCUCAGCCAGGCAGCCAAGGCUUUUGAACUUAUCGAAAAACAGAAAGAAACGUCAUCGCGUAACCAGACUCAGUAUCAACGGUCGCUUGAUUUAGAAAGGGAGAGAAUUGCCGAACUUGAAAAAGAACUUGAAGAGUACAAAGAAAAACUUGCCGAUACCUCAGCAUACUAUAAAGAAGAAUAUGGCAUCACGCCAGAAGAAUCGAUAGAGAAUAAAGAAAAAUUACACCAGAUGGAAGAGCUUGUCGUGGCCUUGGAAGUGGAGGUGAAGCAAAUAACUAGUAGCCUUGAAGAAGAACGUAAUUGGGGUUUGGAAUUGGAGAGUGAGAGAGAUCAGUUGAAGGAGCGUCUUGAAGCUGAGGUUCAACUUAGGGAAGGUUCUAUCGAACAGAGAAAUCAGGAGAUCGAUCAACUGAGGGAAAGAGUCAAACAGUUGGAAGAGCAGAUAUUUAAGUGGGAAAGCCUGUCACAGCAACAGAAGAGUGAGUUGUUAGAAAAGGACAGAAUCAUUAAAGAAAAAAGUCUCCAGCUUGAGGAAAGACUUCGUUCGUGUGAUGAGCUGACCAAUGACUGCGAGAAGAGAAAGAAACAAGUUGAUUCGUUGAGGGCUUCAGUCAAGACGAGAGACGAUGCUCUGAUAGAACUUACAAACAAGCACAAAUCUCUUUUGUCGCAGUUUGAAUGCAAUUCCACAAAACUUAAAACUUGUUCGCCGCCAAGGAGCCCGACGACACCAAACUCUGUUGAUGAUUUUCAUCUGCAAACGACGAUGGGCCAAAGAUUGAGCUGCGUACGGAGUCUAGAUAAGAAAAACACUUCUGUCGACUGGGAGCCAAACAAAGAAAAGUCUUCGAGGCACAGUUCACAGGAUUUGGAGGAACGUGAUAGUGAGAUGAAGCGACACCAAGAAGCCAACAAGCAGUUAACUUUGAAGCUUUGUAAUACUCAGAAGACUGUUGAGGCUGCUGAUCAAAAAUACAAGAAGCUAACUAUGGAUCACGAAAAGGCACUUAAAACGAUUCAAGGUUUUUUCGAAAGGCAACAGCAAUUGGAGGACAAAUUAGUGAAAAAAGAUCGCAAACUUAUGGAAUUAGAAGUUGAACUGAGCAGACUGAGGAGUCAGGAUUGCACAAAGUCUAAUCGCAGAGUCCCAUCAGCUAGACGUGAUCUAACCAGUGAGAUGUCUGACGACCCGGAACGGGACCCAUGCAAUCAGCAACGCUUUGAGGAAAUGGAGAGCAAGAUUAACGACCUGAGAGUACAAAUCGAUACUAUUAAGGCUGAGAAGAGUAAACUGGAAAUGCAAAUUCAAGCUGAAUCCCAGGAAGUACAAGAACAACUGAAAGAUCGAGAACAGAAAAUAGUGUCUUUAGAAUCUGAGAAAAACACAAUACGCGUUGAGUUAACAGAGAAAGUUGUCGAACUGGAUAAAUUAAAGGAAGCCUAUAAUCAGGCAAGUCUUAAAAUCGAAGAAAGCUGCCGAACAAACGAGUUAGGCGACGAGUAUAGUCUGCGAGAAGAGCUGCUGUUGAAAAAUGCAUUGAUUGAGGAGAAGGAUAAAAAAAUUGAACAAUUGAGCAAAGAGUUACAAAUUCGAACGCAGAAUCUACAAAAACUUGUCAACACAGAAUUAUGGAGCAAGAAUAAAGAGAUUGCCAAAUUACAUAAUCACAUGACUGCAACCCAUAGUCAUGAAAGGAGCAGAAACAGGUCUGAAUCAGCCUUGGAUAAUUCUGGAUUGCAAGUAACAACUUUGAUCAAAGAACUGUCAGACCUUGGUAUACAAGUCAAAAUUGUAAAUGACGCUGUACAAUUGAAUUACGUCAAUGGAAAUGAGUCAAUAGACUUAAAAGUGACAAAAAAUUACUUAGAAACCCUUUUAGAACAACGAAACGAGUUGGAAAAGGAAAUAGAUUACCUCAAAUGGUUGAAGCUUAUUACUAAACCUGAUAUAACUAAUGAAAUUGAAAGCUCUGGGUCAGAAACCGAGAGAGCUCGAAAGUAUUGUGAAUUAUUGCGAACGCAUCUCAAGGAGUUGGUCAGAUUUAUGAACGAAAUGUUGAGAAAAGCUAAUCAUUCGGAAAUAAUUAGUAUGGAACAUAAAAAAAUAGUGCUGGACGUAUUUUUGGAUUCUAAAAUUUUACCCGAUGAUUUUAUACACUCUUUUGAAGAAAUACCCGGUGGUGAUGCAGUUGGAGAUCACUCUUCUCGACGUCAUUUUGCCGAAGAACAUUUAGUUGAUAGUGUUGGGAAGAAGAGUAACACCGAAAAUUUACUGGGAGUGCGAAAGAAUCAAAAUUCGAUUCACUCAGAUUCAGAGGCAUUUUCAGAGCCAGACAGAACAGUUUCGCUCGCUAGAAUCGGACUACAAGAGCUGAAUCAUAAAACUAGCAACAAACAUAGAUUCUCUAAGUAUACAAAGACGUUUAGUGACUCUGAGGACUCUAUGGAUUAUGUUCCUUACCAUAAGACUUACCAGAGCGACUUGAAUGACACAGAUGAGACAAGUAAUAUACAGGAGCUAAAAGAAACCAACAAUCAGCUAUACUCGGAACUGAAUGCUCUCAGGAAUGAGCUUGCAAGGAAAACUUUAUUCGAUGAUAGAUUCGACGAAAAAUUGGCACCUUUAAUCGCAAAGCUGGAACAUUCACAGAGAUUUUGUGAAAAAUUGCAGGCGUCGCUAGAAAAAAGAAUGAAUGAAUGCUACACACUGAAAAAAGAAAGCAAACACAACAGCAUACGAAAAGCACAGUUGGAGAAAAAGAUAUCGGAGGUUGAAGAUAUGGCUAUUGAAUUAACUAAACAAAAGGCGGAUCUUUUACAUUCUAAAGAAAGCGCUGAGAGACAAACCUGUGAAAUGCUAACAGCGCUCAAUAGAGAAAAUGACACGCUGCGAACAAAGAUUAAAAAAAUGGAAGAUGAAAUGGAGGUAACUAAAACGAAUUUGGCAACAAUAACGAAAGAAAUCGAUCAAUUGACACUUUCUCACUCCCAAGUUCUUGUUGAAAAUACAAAACUGAUCAAUGAAAAGCUGAGGCUGGAACAAGAUGCGCGAAAAAACGACAGUCGAUAUGAUAUUGCACUACGGUCUCUGCACGAGAAAUAUACCAAAGAGAUAGCAGACCUGAAUCAAGUCAACGAUUCGCAGCGAUCACGUAUGCAGGAAUUGGAAAUGGUAAACAAAGAGUUACGAAGACAUGUCGUAACUUGCGAGGCCAGUGAUUCCGCGCCAAGUUCGAGUGGUAUUUCAUCCAUUCCAACUGACACAACGAUUAAACAAAGUUGUGACGAUAUAAUCCAAGAAUAUCAUUCCUACAACGGCUCUCAGUAUUGGUUGCCAAUAAAUUAUCCGAAUCUUACGGGUCGUAGUAAGUCUAGCUGUUCGCCUGACUUAGGAAUCGAGAGCGAUGCGGCACUAACGACUACAACACGACCUUUGAAAGAUACUUUGAAAAUAACCGAAUCUAUGACAAAUCUUCUCAGCGAGGAUGAGAAUUGUAAUACAAGCCGAGAACUCAGAGAUUUAGACAGUGAAAGCCCGCUGCCUACAGAAGAGAUUUUUUUGUCAAUCUACGUGAUUGGGGAACCAAUGCAUCAGUUUUGAUCCAAGCAAACUUAUCUCGAGAAUGGUUCAUCUGACAACAAAUAUGCAUAUCAAUGGUCUGAACGAAAUGGAAGUGUUGAAGCAGGAAAACGAGGCACUGAAGCGACGACUGAUGAAAACUAGAAGAGCUUUGGAAGAUACAUUUCAGCAUCUUUCUGCAUCGAAUAAAAA
Molecule: unclassified non-coding RNA, 5569 nt
Filed under: Neodiprion lecontei (redheaded pine sawfly)
Lineage: Eukaryota; Metazoa; Arthropoda; Insecta; Hymenoptera; Diprionidae
Description: centrosomin, transcript variant X7
Source: RNAcentral